This 639-nucleotide long non-coding RNA is filed under the name Salmo salar (Atlantic salmon). RNAcentral describes it as "lncRNA (ENSSSAG00000097302.1)". The record is from RNAcentral. Lineage: Eukaryota; Metazoa; Chordata; Actinopteri; Salmoniformes; Salmonidae.
UUUUGACUCUGAGUCACUUGAAAGGGGCAUGUUUAUCAGCCAGAGGUAAAAAUGGAUGAGAAAAAAUGUGCCAAAACAGGGUCUGGUAUGCAAGCCCGUAGAAAAAAGCUCAUGGGGUCAUCAGAAGGGAUGGGUUCAACUCCAGAUUCUGCCACGUGAAGCAUCAUCUGCUGGAUUGACUUUGGAGCUCACAACACCAUUGUAUUAGAUAAACCUCUGAUGACAGACUGUUUACCACAAAUGUCUGGAACCUUCUUGUUUCGUUGGCUCAAUGUUACAACUGAGAGUGAGACCAGAGUGAGGGCGAGGGAAGUGACUCAAGUUUUUAUUUGGUGGGACCAUUUUACCUGCUUAUAACAUUGGGGAGAACAUGACACACGGCUUCUGCAACUGGAUCCUGGACUUCCUGACAGGCCGACCUCAGGUGGUGAGAGAAUGCAACAACAGCUUCGCGACGAUGUCCCUCAGCACGUGGGGCCCCCAGGGGUGUGUGCUCAGCCCCCUCCUGUACUCCCUUUUUACGCACGACUAUGCACCCAUCGACAAGUUUGCUGACGACACGACGGUGGUAGGCCUGAACACCAAUGGCGAUGUAUAUCCUAUGUAUAUCCUACUACCAGUAACUUUUUAUGUAUAAAC